AAGACUAUAGACCUGCGGAGUACCUGCGGAAGGAUCAUUACAGAGUUACACAACUCCAACCCUUGUGAACCAUACCCAAAUCGUUCUCGUUGCUUCCGGCGGGGGGGACGGGGGGGCCUGAAAACGGCCCGCCCGCCCCGCCCGCCGGGGGCCGCGGGCCCUACGAACCUUUAUAUCUCAACCACCAGAAACCGUCUGAGGAUACAAAACAAAUAAUCAAAACUUUCAACAAUGGAUCUC
This 240-nucleotide unclassified non-coding RNA is filed under the name soil metagenome. Its description in RNAcentral is "partial contains 5.8S ribosomal RNA, internal transcribed spacer 2, and large subunit ribosomal RNA". The record is from RNAcentral.